CCCAUCUUGAUAGUUUAUAGAUAUUAUAAACUAUAAUACCUUCCUUACCUGUUUCCCUGGUCAUUGGUACCAUGUAUGUAAAAGAUGGCUUUAUAUAUGUAAAACUUUUUUAUGUAUCUCAGACUAGCCUCAAACUGCGAAACACACAAAGAUGAUGUUGAACUUCUGAUCAUCCUGACUGCACUUCCUUAUUGGGAUUACAUGUGUGUACCAAACACAAUGCUUCAUGGAUGCAAGGUGUCUUUAGAGGAGCUCAGUACCACUCAGUGAUUGCUCCAACCCACUCAGUGAUCUGUGCUUUGGGAGGUGCUGACAAGUCCUCAGUGGCUGGCUGGGCACUCCAGUCUUUAGUAGGGAACUGCUGGAUGGGUACAGAGGGCACCUCAGACCAGUCUGCCACUUCUGGUUAAGCAGCAAUGAACUCAGGAGCUGGGACAGUCCAUUCACACUGGAAUUCCUCCUUGGUCAUGGAAUGUAUCUCCAUUUCAUGUUUCAAGUUUUGUCAAAGAGAUUCAGCAAUAAAAAUAGCAUGGUACUUGCUUAACAA
Long non-coding RNA from Psammomys obesus (fat sand rat), 547 nucleotides. RefSeq lists it as uncharacterized. The transcript is spliced from 2 exons. The record is from RefSeq and is a predicted model, not a curated record. NCBI's taxonomy places the organism in Eukaryota, Metazoa, Chordata, Mammalia, Rodentia, Muridae.